This 566-nucleotide ribosomal RNA is filed under the name uncultured archaeon. RNAcentral's name for it is "bacterial SSU rRNA". It matches the Rfam family "Archaeal small subunit ribosomal RNA", at positions 312 to 879 of the family's 1478-position model. The record is from RNAcentral.
CGCGAAUCGCCCUUCGGGGUGCCCAGGCGCGAAAACUUUACAAUGCCGGCAACGGCGAUAAGGGAACCUCGAGUGCCAGGUUACAAAUCUGGCUGUCGUGAUGCCUAAAAAGCAUUGCAUAGCAAGGGCCGGGCAAGACCGGUGCCAGCCGCCGCGGUAACACCGGCGGCUCGAGUGGUAACCGUUAUUAUUGGGUCUAAAGGGUCUGUAGCCGGCCGGGUAAGUCUCUUGGGAAAUCUGGCAGCUUAACUGUCAGGCUUUCAGGAGAUACUGCCUGGCUCGAGGCCGGGAGAGGUGAGAGGUACUUCAGGGGUAGGGGUGAAAUCUUGUAAUCCUUGAAGGACCACCAGUGGCGAAGGCGUCUCACCAGAACGGACCUGACGGCAAGGGACGAAAGCUAGGGGCACGAACCGGAUUAGAUACCCGGGUAGUCCUAGCCGUAAACGAUACUCGCUAGGUGUCGGCCACGGUGCGACCGUGGUCGGUGCCGUAGGGAAGCCGUGAAGCGAGCCACCUGGGAAGUACGGCCGCAAGGCUGAAACUUAAAGGAAUUGGCGGGGGAGCAC